GAGUUUGAUCCUGGCUCAGAAUCAACGCUGGCGGCGUGCCUAACACAUGCAAGUCGAACGAGAAAGUGGAGCAAUCCAUGAGUAAAGUGGCGACCGGGUGAGUAACACGUGACUAACCUACCUUCGAGUGGGGGAUAACCUCGGGAAACCGAGGCUAAUACCGCAUAACAUCGCAAGAUCAAAAGCAGCAAUGCGCUGGAAGAGGGGGUCGCGGCUGAUUAGCUAGUUGGCGGGGUAACGGCCCACCAAGGCGAAGAUCGGUAUCCGGCCUGAGAGGGCGCACGGACACACUGGAACUGAAACACGGUCCAGACUCCUACGGGAGGCAGCAGUGGGGAAUUUUGCGCAAUGGGGGAAACCCUGACGCAGCAACGCCGCGUGGAGGAUGAAGCCCCUUGGGGCGUAAACUCCUUUCGACCAAGACGAUAAUGACGGUACUAGUGGAAGAAGCACCGGCCAACUCUGUGCCAGCAGCCGCGGUAAUACAGAGGGUGCGAGCGUUGUUCGGAAUUAUUGGGCGUAAAGGGCGCGUAGGCGGUGCCACAAGUCACUUGUGAAAUCCCCGGGCUUAACUCGGGGCCUGCAGGCGAAACUGUGGUGCUGGAGUAUGGGAGAGGUGCGUGGAAUCCCCGGUGUAGCGGUGAAAUGCGUAGAUAUCGGGAGGAACACCUGUGGCGAAAGCGGCGCACUGGACCAUAACUGACGCUGAGGCGCGAAAGCUAGGGGAGCAAACAGGAUUAGAUACCCUGGUAGUCCUAGCCCUAAACGAUGAUUGCUUGGUGUAGCAGGUACCCAAUCCUGCUGCGCCGCGAGCUAACGCG
This 821-nucleotide ribosomal RNA is filed under the name uncultured bacterium. RNAcentral's name for it is "bacterial SSU rRNA". It matches the Rfam family "Bacterial small subunit ribosomal RNA", at positions 9 to 859 of the family's 1533-position model. The record is from RNAcentral.